AUCUGCCAUAAGGCCAUCCACCAUAAUCCCAUCCUCCACAAUGUCAUCGUCACAAUGCCAUCCACCAUAAUGCCAUCCACCAUAAUGCUAUCUGCCAUAAGGGCCUUACCAGAGACAAGACAAUGCCAGUGCCAGGCCAAUGCUAGUACCAUGCCCUGAACCUCCACAACUGUGAGUUAAAUACAUCUCUUUUCCUUAAAAAGUAUCCAGGCUAAACUAUUUUAUUAGAGUAGCUAAAAACAGACAAAUACAACAGAUAAACAGAUAUUGAGAUUGUCAAAGACUUAAAAAUAUACACCUAUAUUCCAUGAAAUAAAGAUAAACACUACAAGGGAAUGAAAAGAGAGAGCUUCUCAGCACAAGAACAGAAACUACAAAAAAGAAACAAACAAAAGCUUCUGAACUGAAAAUUCCAACUGAAAUUUACAAUUCCUUGCACAGAUUCAACAACAAAAUAAAGAAGAUUCAAAAUAAAGAAUAGAUGAACAUGAAGAUAGACCAAUGGAAAUUAUCUAAUCUGAACAAUAGAGGUAACAAAAAUUGGGGGGGAAGUCAAAGAGAUUUGGGGACUUGUAGAACAAUAGUAAAAAUUAUAAAACUUUUAUCAUUAAAGUCCCAAAAGGGCAGGAGAAAGAGAGUGGUACAGAAAAACAAAUUUAAACCAUAAUGACUGGAUACUUCCCAAAUUUGAUGUAGGACAUAAAUGUACAGAUUCAAAAAAUUCCAGUCGCGCAGAAGACAGCGAAUCACCCCGCUGCAGACAGGCAGGUCUGCCCACACCCUACCUAGGUCCCCAGUCAGGCGGAACACAUACCGAAUCAGCCAGCUGCAGACAGGCAGGUCUGUGCACGCCCUACCAAGGUCCUGAGUCCCACGGAAGACACCGAAUCACCCCGCUGCAGACAGGCAGCCACCUAGUUCCACACUACAAAGACGCAGAGGACACCAGACCACCAGACCAAGGUCAGAGACAGAGGAUAUCAGAGAUUCAAAACAUGAGAAGGAUCUGAUACACCCUUCUGGCUUAAAGACAAAGGAAGACACAUGGCUAGAAGUGUAGGUGGCCUCUAGGAGCUGAGAAAGCAUCUAUGACAGCCACGCAGGAAAUGGUGGCCUCGUACUCUGGAGAUUCAGUGGAUUCAGCUCCCAGAUGAGAACUCGGUGCAGCCCAUACAGUGUUGAUUGCUUUGUGAACAGAACCAAGCCAUGCCAGACUUCUGAGCUCCAGAAAUGUGAACUAAUCCCAGGUGUUAUUUCAAGUUCCUAAAUGCAUGAUACGUUGUUACACAGGAGUAGAAAACUAACAUAAUCAUAUAUAGCUUUCCAAAUCCAUGCAGAUAAAUAUUUCUAAUUCUUUUUUAAGACUGCAUAUGUAUUACUUUGUCAUUACUUUAAUGCAUCAAAAUAUAUUCAAAUAUAUUCCUAUUUCUAGAAAUCCACCUGGCUUUUAUUUCUUGUUAUUUUUAAAUAAUCCAGAAAACAUCUUUAUGCAUUUGCCUUGAUAUAUCUAUCCUAUUUCCCCCCAUAAGACAGAUUGUUA
Molecule: long non-coding RNA, 1540 nt
Filed under: Heterocephalus glaber (naked mole-rat)
Lineage: Eukaryota; Metazoa; Chordata; Mammalia; Rodentia; Bathyergidae
Description: lncRNA (ENSHGLG00100043662.1)
Source: RNAcentral